GUGAAAUAAUUGUAUAGAUUGCAAAUCUUGAGUAAGGGUUACCUGUUUCAUU
Molecule: transfer RNA, 52 nt
Filed under: Orthonychiurus folsomi
Lineage: Eukaryota; Metazoa; Arthropoda; Collembola; Poduromorpha; Onychiuridae
Description: tRNA-Cys
Source: RNAcentral